AGAGACUACAGAUAGACGCAGCUAACUUCAGAGAGUGUGGCUUCAGGGAAACAUCACCUUCUUCCCAAACUAGCCCCUUUCCAAUUCCCCAUCCCACUGAGAGGCACUUUUACCGCCCAAUAAAAUCCUUCGCAUACACUACCCAUCAAUUCGUUCAUGUGACCUGAUUCUUCCUGGAUGCUGGACAAGAACCCGGGUGCUGAAAGGGUAAGGGCUUAGACACUGCUGCAGAGCCCGUACAAAGUGUGCUCUGCCAGAGAGGAGUAUGGAUAAUUCCUCUUCUCUAGGCUCUCUCUGCAUCAUGGGUGCUGGAAACUGCUGGUUCCAGUGUUUGUUUCCUCUGGUUCCCACACUCGCUUACACACUCCUGCUUGUGAGAAGUGGCCAGCAGUGGGCUGACUGAAAUUAGCUACUCCAGUUUCCACCCACUAAGGGAGUCAAUGUCAAGGGAACAAUCCCAUGUCAUCUGGGGGCCCGUCCAGGAUACGAAAAAGGAGGCCAUCGAGACUUCAAAUGUGCAGGCAGCCGGAGCCUCGGAUGAUGGCUGCCUUUUGCCGGGGACCCUUGGGCAGACCUCUUGGAGGAAUCCGACUGCGAUUUUCCCCAAACAACGUCCCCUUUUAGCAGGAAGUAGCUAAGACCAGUCAUCAUCUAUAUUCUAACGGCAGUUAGAUGUGCCUCUUCAGAGGGGGAAAUGAUACAGAACAGCCAGAAUAAACCCCACUCUUAGGCCUGGAACCACAACCUUAAGUGAAAACAGCUGGCCCUGUUUCUCCUGCCCAAAUGUUGCCUUUUUGGCCUGCCACCCCUUAUCCUGUGCCCAUAAAAGGACUUCAGCUGGCAGAGCAACACAAAUGGCUGAGCAUCAGGGAUACAAGCUGCUGAGUGUUGGGCAUAUACGCGGCUGAGUAGCGAACAAAGAAGUAACAACUGAGCAUUGGAGACUAUGGAUAGAUGCAGCUAACUUCAGACAGUGUGGCUUCAAGGAAAGAUCACCUUCUUCCCCUUUCCCCAUCCCACUAAGAAUCACUUUUAUCAGCCAAUAAAAUCCUCUUCAUACAC
RNAcentral lists this long non-coding RNA (1062 nucleotides) under Homo sapiens (human). RNAcentral describes it as "HSALNT0174389". Lineage: Eukaryota; Metazoa; Chordata; Mammalia; Primates; Hominidae. The record is from RNAcentral.